GACGGGGGGGGCAAGUGUUCUUCGGAAUUACUGGGCGUAAAGGGCCCGUAGGCGGUGAAUCGGGUUGAAAGUGAAAGUCGCCAAAAAGUGGCGGAAUGCUCUCGAAACCAAUUCACUUGAGUGAGACAGAGGAGAGUGGAAUUUCGUGUGUAGGGGUGAAAUCCGUAGAUCUACGAAGGAACGCCAAAAGCGAAGGCAGCUCUCUGGGUCCCUACCGACGCUGGGGUGCGAAAGCAUGGGGAGCGAACAGG
RNAcentral lists this ribosomal RNA (251 nucleotides) under uncultured bacterium. RNAcentral's name for it is "partial 16S ribosomal RNA". It matches the Rfam family "Bacterial small subunit ribosomal RNA", at positions 524 to 776 of the family's 1533-position model. The record is from RNAcentral.